CAGUCGCCACGGGAAUACGUAGGGUGCAAGCGUUAAUCGGAAUUACUGGGCGUAAAGCGUGCGCAGGCGGUUUGUUAAGACAGAUGUGAAAUCCCCGGGCUCAACCUGGGAACUGCAUUUGUGACUGGCAAGCUAGAGUCUGGCAGAGGGGGGUGGAAUUCCGCGUGUAGCAGUGAAAUGCGUAGAUAUGCGGAGGAACACCGAUGGCGAAGGCAGCCCCCUGGGCCAACACUGACGCUCAUGCACGAAAGCGUGGGGAGCAAACAGGAUUAGAUACCCCAGUAGUCCCUGUCUCUUAUAC
Molecule: ribosomal RNA, 301 nt
Filed under: uncultured bacterium
Lineage: Bacteria
Description: partial 16S ribosomal RNA
Rfam family: Bacterial small subunit ribosomal RNA
Source: RNAcentral